Pseudopipra pipra is the source of this 894-nucleotide long non-coding RNA. RefSeq lists it as uncharacterized. The transcript is spliced from 2 exons. The record is from RefSeq and is a predicted model, not a curated record. Lineage: Eukaryota; Metazoa; Chordata; Aves; Passeriformes; Pipridae.
UUCUCUGCAAAUCACUGAGGGAGAAAUCUUUGUGCAGUCUGCUCCGUGAUUUUGCAGCCCCUUCGCAGCCCCAUGACAGAUGCAGCUCUGGGCUUACACCUUCUAAUCCUAAUCCUAGGCUUUGCUAAACUUUAGCUCCCCUAGCGCUGUGGCCCAAAUGAACCAGCUGACACAGGAGAAACACUUUCACAGCUUGCACUGGUGUUUUGCAGUCCUUUCCAGCCUCACACCCACUGCAGGUGUGGGCUCCAGCUCCCCACAGCCCAGGCCUGCCAUGGGUCCCACUGAGCCAAGCCUUCCCGUGGGCCCACAUCGCUGCCUGGCCUCAGCCUGUACCCAGGGAGGAGCCCAAUGCCCAGGGCUGCUCCGGUGCCCCUGGGCUGCUGCUGGCUGGAUGGUAGGACAGGCCCUGGCUGCCCCGUCCUGUCACCCUUAUGGGGAGCCCCCAGCCCUGCAGCACCUGACAAUACCAUGGUGUUGGCUAAGCCCUCAUCGCCCACAGCCCACAGCAGCAGUCUGCACAGAAAAGCUCUCCAGGUCUGUUUCCUGAAAGGCAACUAGUACUGUCAAAUCAAGACAUGUGGUAGAAAGCUCUGGAGUCCCUCUGCUGCAUGCAAUGCAUUCAUGUAUUCCCGAACUUGAGUAACUCAGAAGAGACCAAAAGUUUGACUGAAAUAUGCAAUGGAUAACAGCUGCAAGAUGGGCAUCAUGUUCAAUUUACAGCUGAGUAAAGAGAUUCUAAAUCUCUAUUUGGUAUGAUGCACUUAGUCAUGUAUACGGGCGCACUGUGGUCCUAAAUCUUAUAAGCACAUCACAGGCAUGAAUGUAUACAAGCCCAACUGGCAUUUGUCUACCUAAUAUUAAAUUAUUUGGCAAUAAACAAAUACUUUAACA